UCUAUGCCUAUCGAGACUUUGCGCCUGA
RNAcentral lists this small RNA (28 nucleotides) under Bombyx mori (domestic silkworm). RNAcentral describes it as "ovarian small RNA-3464". The record is from RNAcentral. Lineage: Eukaryota; Metazoa; Arthropoda; Insecta; Lepidoptera; Bombycidae.